AUUGAACGCUGGCGGCAUGCCUUACACAUGCAAGUCGAACGGCAGCACGGGUGCUUGCACCUGGUGGCGAGUGGCGAACGGGUGAGUAAUACAUCGGAACAUGUCCUGUAGUGGGGGAUAGCCCGGCGAAAGCCGGAUUAAUACCGCAUACGAUCUACGGAUGACAGCGGGGGACCUUCGGGCCUCGCGCUAUAGGGUUGGCCGAUGGCUGAUUAGCUAGUUGGUGGGGUAAAGGCCUACCAAGGCGACGAUCAGUAGCUGGUCUGAGAGGACGACCAGCCACACUGGGACUGAGACACGGCCCAGAGUCCUACGGGAGGCAGCAGUGGGGAAUGUUGGACAAUGGGGGAAAGCCUGAUCCAGCAAUGCCGCGUGUGUGAAGAAGGCCUUCGGGUUGUAAAGCACUUUUGUCCGGAAAGAAAUCCUUGGGCCUAAUACGGUCGGGGGAUGACGGUACCGGAAGAAUAAGCACCGGCUAACUACGUG
RNAcentral lists this ribosomal RNA (486 nucleotides) under uncultured bacterium. RNAcentral's name for it is "partial 16S ribosomal RNA". It matches the Rfam family "Bacterial small subunit ribosomal RNA", at positions 29 to 507 of the family's 1533-position model. The record is from RNAcentral.